GGGGGCGACAUGGUUUCGACUGGUUGGGUUGAGCGUCGGCUGCAUGCGGAGGAUGACCGUCGGCCUCCUAAAUCACCGGUCAAGCUAGUAACUGCGAACACUGAGCUCGCACUCGCAGCCUAACGGCCGCGACGUUCUCACUCUGACGCCUGAUAAGGGCUGAGAACGACGACAUCAGGCUGGCCGCAAGACCGGGCACCCGGGUGGCGCGGCGAGAACUUCACAGGGGGCUUGGUCCGACCAUUGGCCCGCGCGUCGCCUACGUGGCCGGACGACAACCUAAGCACGCGCUAAGCAUGUAGACGCCGCCGUGGAAUCCUCCCAGGACCCGGGUUCAACUCCCGGCGCCUCCACCA
This 356-nucleotide transfer-messenger RNA is filed under the name Lentisphaeria. Its description in RNAcentral is "JAGVUW01 sp012514865 Standard tmRNA". It matches the Rfam family "transfer-messenger RNA". From Rfam's summary of the family: Bacterial tmRNA, also known as 10Sa RNA or SsrA, is named for its dual tRNA and mRNA-like properties. Its role is to liberate the mRNA from a stalled ribosome. To accomplish this part of the tmRNA is used as a reading frame that ends in a translation stop signal. RNAcentral also lists the same sequence under 1 other name. The record is from RNAcentral. Lineage: Bacteria; Pseudomonadati; Lentisphaerota.